Molecule: ribosomal RNA, 337 nt
Filed under: Apanteles sp. Rodriguez59
Lineage: Eukaryota; Metazoa; Arthropoda; Insecta; Hymenoptera; Braconidae
Description: partial 28S ribosomal RNA
Source: RNAcentral
AAACCGUUCAGGGGUAAACCUGUGAAACCCAAAAGAUCGAAUGGGAGAUUCAUCGUCAGCGUAUUCAGUAUUAAUGCAGGCUAUGAUGUGAUAAUAGAAUCCUCGUGGUCACUAGAUUAUACUUGCUUGUUUAUUUUUGCUGGGUGUGUCGGCGUGCACUUCUCCUCUAGUAGAACGUCGCAACCCGUUGGAUGUUUAUCUAUGGCCUGAUUNGGUAGCCUUUGAUAUAAUUUUAUAUUGAGACCUUUUGGUGUCCGUAAACUGUCUGACGGUAUACNAUAUAGUAUUGAGCCGCAAUUAUUUGCGUUAGACUUGCUGCAAGAAGGCUUUAUUNCUG